GACGAACGCUGGCGGCGUGCUUAACACAUGCAAGUCGAACGGAAAGGCCCUGCUUUUGUGGGGUGCUCGAGUGGCGAACGGGUGAGUAACACGUGAGAAACGUGCCCUAGACUUUGGGAAAAAUUCAGGAAAAUGGGGAUAAUAGCGGAUAGGAGCACCUGCUGCAUGGUGGGGGAGGGAAAGUUUAGGCGGUUGGGGAUGGACUCGCGGCUUAUCAGCAUGUUGGUGGGGUAGUGGCUUACAAAGGGUUUGCCGGGUAGCGGGCCGGAGAGGGUGACCGGCCCCAUUUGGACUGAGAUACGCCCCAGACUCCUCCGGGAGGCACCAGUGGGGAAUAUUGCACAAUGUGCGGAAGCCUGUUGCAGCACCGCCGCGUGCGGGAUGACGGCCUUCGCGUUUUGUACCGCUUUCUCCUGUGACGAAGCGUGAGUGACGGUAAUGGGUAAAGAAGCCCCGGCUAACUACGUG
RNAcentral lists this ribosomal RNA (468 nucleotides) under uncultured bacterium. RNAcentral's name for it is "partial 16S ribosomal RNA". It matches the Rfam family "Bacterial small subunit ribosomal RNA", at positions 28 to 507 of the family's 1533-position model. The record is from RNAcentral.